AUUGAACGCUGGCGGAAUGCUUUACACAUGCAAGUCGAAUGGCAGCACGGACUUCGGUCUGGUGGCGAGUGGCGAACGGGUGAGUAAUGUAUCGGAACGUGCCCAGUCGUGGGGGAUAACGUAGUGAAAAUUACGCUAAUACCGCAUACGAGCUAUGGAUGAAAGCGGGGGAUCGCAAGACCUCGCGCGAUUGGAGCGGCCGAUAUCAGAUGAGGUAGUUGGUGGGGUAAAGGCCCACCAAGCCAACGAUCUGGAGCUGGUCUGAGAGGACGACCAGCCACACCGGAACUGAGACACGGUCCAGACUCCUACGGGAGGCAGCAGUGGGGAAUUUUGGACAAUGGGCGGAAGCCUGAUCCAGCCAUUCCGCGUGCAGGAUGAAGGCCCUCGGGUUGUAAGCUGCUUUUGUACAGAACGAAAAGGUUUCUACUAAUACUAGGAGCUCAUGACGGUACUGUAAGAAUAAGCACCGGCUAACUACGUGCCAGCCGCCGCGGUAA
This 500-nucleotide ribosomal RNA is filed under the name uncultured bacterium. RNAcentral describes it as "partial 16S ribosomal RNA". It matches the Rfam family "Bacterial small subunit ribosomal RNA", at positions 30 to 523 of the family's 1533-position model. The record is from RNAcentral.